This is a non-coding RNA of Hydra vulgaris (swiftwater hydra), 987 nucleotides long. NCBI's taxonomy places the organism in Eukaryota, Metazoa, Cnidaria, Hydrozoa, Anthoathecata, Hydridae. The record is from RefSeq and is a predicted model, not a curated record.
UUUCUUAGUGUUUAUUCUUAAUCAUCCUUAACAAUAAGAACCAUACUAACAUGUAUAAUAAGAUCUAUACUAAUAUCUAACUUAAGUAAUAGCUAAGUUUUAUAAGUUUUGUCAUUCAAAGCAUGUAUAUUCUUAGCAUUUCCAUUACAGUAGAUAGUAAUUUUAAACAUUUUGUAAAAACCAUUGUUAAAAAUCGUUAGGGAAAUUCAUCUGAUUUUUCAAAAAAUUCAUUUAAUUUUAUAUAAAUAGUUGGCUACGAACCAUGUUGGAGAAACAUUGUUUUAAUAUGAGUUUUUUUGUUUUACAUUGCAAUGUGUAUCUCAAACAUUAAUAAGAAUUGUUUUGUGUCAGUCCCAGAAAUUGAAUGCACACCUGCAAAUUUCAUAAUUCAUAAAAAUAUUAUGAAUCCAUUAGCAAAUAAAAUUGUAUCCUUGAAAGAUAUGCUGGUAUUAUUGGCACAAUGGGCAAGCAUUGAAGUGCAACUUGGUGAACUACAAAAUACAUCAAAUUCAGUUAUAAAAGUUUGAGUAUCAAAGGUAUGCUAAUUAUUGUAUUUAAGUACUCUGGAAGAAAAAAGACAAGAAAACACUUUAGUAAAUGGUAAAUAUUUUUUUUAUGAUCUGUUUAUGCAUUUAGUAUGAUAUGUAGUACAAUUUAUAUACUUUAAAUAAAAUACUCUUUGAAGAUUUUUUGUAAAUGACAUUUUAUAUUAAUUUAAGUCUAAACAAAAGUUACUUUAAUUACUGCUAGGCUGUGUGUUUUUGCAAGUUAAUUAUUUUGCACAAAUUGGAGUUAAAGACGGAGGAGAUUGUAUAUGUUAUUUACUAAGAAUAGUUUAUUAAAAUGGCCUAGCUGUAAAGUUAAAUUAUGCAGGGAGAGGAUAAAAAAUUGGAAUAGGAAAAAUGUUGAUUGCAUAUGCUGCUAUUGAAACUGUGAAGUCAAAUAGCGGAAGAAAAAAUAAUAAUCGUGGGCACCAAAUAUCAUAAG